UCCAGGCAGGCGUUUGACCAGGCAGAGGGUUAGGGAGCAAAGCAGGUGGAAAAGUAGCGGUUCUUGCACGGGAUGUACUGGUAGCUAGCUCUGGAUGGCAGUAGCAGCCUGGUCUCUCAGCGGUGCCUGGGAAGCUGCAAAUUCAGCAAAGUGCAUCGAAACCUCGGGACUGGUCCUCGCGCUGCAGUGGGCCCACGUACACCAGGGGCUUCCAAUUCUGUCACUGGAGAAAAUGUGUCGCUAGUGUAUGCAGAUUGCAGUGUACGGAUACUGCUGGUAUUGCCUGGUACUCACUGUGGGUCUGGGUGAAUCACAGAGAUGCUCCGUUCAGCAAGUUCCCAACUGCUUACAUGCAGAUUUUUAACUUCUGCUUGGAAACCAGACUGGACACUGCCAUGUGAAAUAGGCAAAGAGCCUCGCACGGGUCUUCUACUAACACUGAAAAUGGAACUUGAUAGCUGCAAGGGAACCAGAACCAGCCCAAACACUGUUUCUACUUUGCUUUUGAAUAGGUUUGUUUCAGCAAGAAGCUGUUUCUGUGACAGUGCAGAGUAUGGCCUGGAUAACAGGAGGGAAGAAACCUUGAACCACUGAAUGUGUGAAAAAUUAGGCAACAACAAGCAACCACCACCACCAGCAAACAGAAAAUGAGAGGAGGGAGUGUUUUAAGCCGUAAAUCUGCUGAGAGAAGAGUCAUCUUUUCCUGUGUCCAUGAACAACGUAACCCUGUGAAAUGUCUGCACCUUUUUAGUGCUCCAGUAAUACAGGCCAUAGCCGUAAUGGGCUUGGGAUUCAUUGGUGAAACCGUGAUGCCAUUGGAGUUAACAAGUGCUGUUAGCCCUCAUUACAGGCUGUACCUA
Molecule: long non-coding RNA, 860 nt
Organism: Cygnus olor (mute swan)
Lineage: Eukaryota; Metazoa; Chordata; Aves; Anseriformes; Anatidae
Exons: 2
Source: RefSeq, a predicted model, not a curated record